AGAAGGGACAGCUGAGAAACAAAGUCCUGGUACGCAGACGACAAUACUAUAACACUGACAAGAGUAUAAUGAUGAUGGAGACGGAGACACAAGCCAGAGAAAGGGUGGACCAAACACCAGGCCAGAAUUCUGCAUGAGUCAGAUCCAGUGGGUGCAGAUCAUCAUACAGAUGGUUCAAGUGUGGAUCCACCUAAUAUUCAAGGUUUUCUGUCCUGGGACACUCGGCUAACCAUCAAGAAAGAACACACUCCAGUGGGCAUCCUUUAUCCAUCCAGACCCUCAUACAGAUGGUUGGAGUUUUGAUUCUCCUAAAGUACCAUGCAAGAGCACUCAUUUUCCCUCUUGAGACCAUGGUGUGACCUGCAAGGUCGAAUGGAGACUGUAAACGAGACAAUCUUGGAGUCACCUGCAUUCACUGGUCCAGUUAGUCCAAUUACAGAUGGAGAUUAUAGAAGAGGAUGAUGUCUUUUCUCCAACAUCUUUCUAGACUGAUAAAAGAUCUAGACAGGCUUGAACAAAAGUUAACAGAGGGGCUUAUAUAGAGAAUGGUGAGCAGCUACACAUAAAAGAAGAACAUGGAGAAUCUGCCCAGAGGUGUUAACCAGCAAUGCAGCUAUACAACUAAAUUGAUGCAGGCGGAAACAAUGUGUGUAUGUUAUGUCCAAAUGUUGUUAUGUUCAAAUGUUU
Molecule: non-coding RNA, 687 nt
Organism: Misgurnus anguillicaudatus (oriental weatherfish)
Lineage: Eukaryota; Metazoa; Chordata; Actinopteri; Cypriniformes; Cobitidae
Source: RefSeq, a predicted model, not a curated record